RNAcentral lists this microRNA (21 nucleotides) under Ananas comosus (pineapple). RNAcentral describes it as "microRNA s1448_c076b". The record is from RNAcentral. Lineage: Eukaryota; Viridiplantae; Streptophyta; Magnoliopsida; Poales; Bromeliaceae.
CAAGGGAAAUAGAGCGAAUUC